UAACUUAUUCAGAAGAAAGAAAACUUUGAAAAAAUAAUAACUGCCAACACUGCAGAUCUUCCUAAUCAGGUGGCCUGAUGUUAGCCUUUUUCAGUAGAGGGUCCUGAAGAGGCACUAGAAGAGGAAGAAGAUUUUCUUCCUAGUUCUGUGUAUCUCUCUCUGCUUCUUCCUCAGGUAGUGUGUAGUAUAUUUUAUAGUACUCACCCCCAGAAAAUUUCAACAGCAUCACCUGAUGGAUGGCUUCCUGGUAAGGUCCCUGGCAUGGCAGAUUCCUAUGGGCAGCUUCCCCCAGAACUUCGUAGCAAAAUCCACCAGUGCAGAGCCUCCCUUAGGGAAGUUUUCCAACAUAUCACCCUUGUGAACAGCUUCCCAGCAGGAAGUACAACACCUCUCUGGAAGGUGGCUUUUCCUAGCAUCACAGAGGGCAGAUUCCUAAGUGUACCACCCUCAUGGACACCUUCCCAGUGAGUUCGAGCUCCACCAGCCUUGCAGCCCAGCAGACUUCUCUGCCAUGUAGUGAUGAAAGCUGCUCCCUCUUCAGAAGUUCUGCAUCUUAGCCCUGCGUUGCUGGGAGGGAAUGAUUGGGGAUAUUCAUAUUCUGAUUCCAUCCUAGGAGUUGAAGUUGUU
Molecule: long non-coding RNA, 627 nt
Filed under: Homo sapiens (human)
Lineage: Eukaryota; Metazoa; Chordata; Mammalia; Primates; Hominidae
Description: HSALNT0161012
Source: RNAcentral